UACAGAGGUGGCAAGCGUUGUUCGGAAUUACUGGGCGUAAAGGGCGCGUAGGCGGCCUUCUAAGUCAGACGUGAAAUCCCCAGGCUUAACUUGGGAACUGCGUCUGAUACUGGAAGGCUUGAGUGCGGGAGAGGGAUGUGGAAUUCCAGGUGUAGCGGUGAAAUGCGUAGAUAUCUGGAGGAACACCGGUGGCGAAGGCGGCAUCCUGGACCGACACUGACGCUGAGGCGCGAAAGCGUGGGGAGCAAACAGG
This 253-nucleotide ribosomal RNA is filed under the name uncultured bacterium. Its description in RNAcentral is "partial 16S ribosomal RNA". It matches the Rfam family "Bacterial small subunit ribosomal RNA", at positions 524 to 776 of the family's 1533-position model. The record is from RNAcentral.